This 423-nucleotide ribosomal RNA is filed under the name uncultured bacterium. RNAcentral's name for it is "bacterial SSU rRNA". It matches the Rfam family "Bacterial small subunit ribosomal RNA", at positions 355 to 796 of the family's 1533-position model. The record is from RNAcentral.
UAACGAAUCUUCCGCAAUGGGCGCAAGCCUGACGGAGCGACGCCGCGUGCAGGACGAAGUCCUUCGGGAUGUAAACUGCUUUUAGGGGAAGGGAAUUCUGACCGUACCCAGAAUAAGCCACGGCUAACUCUGUGCCAGCAGCCGCGGUAAUACAGAGGUGGCAAGCGUUGCUCGGAAUCACUGGGCUUAAAGGGCAUGUAGGCGGCCGAGUAAGCGUCUUGUGAAAUCCCCCGGCUUAACCGGGGAACGGCUCGACGAACUGCUCGGCUCGAGGGAGACAGGGGCGACCGGAACUCUGGGUGGAGCGGUGAAAUGCGUAGAUAUCCAGGGGAACGCCGGUGGUGAAAACGGGUCGCUGGGUCUUUCCUGACGCUGAGGUGCGAAAGCUAGGGGAGCGAACGGGAUUAGAUACCCCUGUAGUCC